UACGUAGGGCGCAAGCGUUAUCCGGAAUUAUUGGGCGUAAAGAGCUCGUAGGCGGUUUGUCGCGUCUGCCGUGAAAGUCCGGGGCUCAACUCCGGAUCUGCGGUGGGUACGGGCAGACUAGAGUGAUGUAGGGGAGACUGGAAUUCCUGGUGUAGCGGUGAAAUGCGCAGAUAUCAAGAGGAACACCUGCGGCGAAGGCGGGUUGCUGGGCCGACACUGACGCUGAGGCGCGAAAGCUAGGGGAGCGAACGGG
RNAcentral lists this ribosomal RNA (253 nucleotides) under uncultured bacterium. RNAcentral describes it as "partial 16S ribosomal RNA". It matches the Rfam family "Bacterial small subunit ribosomal RNA", at positions 524 to 776 of the family's 1533-position model. The record is from RNAcentral.